AAGUCGUAACAAGGUUUCCGUAGGUGAACCUGCGGAAGGAUCAUUAACACUCCAAAACUUCUCAUAGCUCUGGGAAACCAGAGUUUAUGAAACCCUAUUCACAUUAGCGAACCCGGCUGGAUCUAGUCGCAAGACUCUAUCUAAGCUAUUUUCUUUUGUCCAUUUUCAUUUUUAACCCCAAUCAUUAUAACUUUUAUUUGACUGACUGGAAGACCUUAAAAAUCUUCCGUUGCUCUUCGCUCUAACCAGUGAAGGCAAUGAAAACUACAAACAAAAACAAAAAAACAACUCUUAGCAACGGAUAUCUUGGUUCUC
Molecule: unclassified non-coding RNA, 315 nt
Filed under: fungal sp.
Lineage: Eukaryota; Fungi
Description: partial internal transcribed spacer region
Rfam family: Eukaryotic small subunit ribosomal RNA (bases 1-46)
Source: RNAcentral